UUUGGGGCCAAUAAAUGUUUGUGAAACACUCGAUCCCAUCCCGAACUCAACAGUGAAACCAAACAUUGCCUAUGAUACUUCGUCUUAAGACGCGGGAAAGUCGGUUAGCCCCAAAU
RNAcentral lists this ribosomal RNA (116 nucleotides) under Gammaproteobacteria bacterium CG_4_9_14_3_um_filter_38_9. The record is from RNAcentral. Lineage: Bacteria; Pseudomonadati; Pseudomonadota; Gammaproteobacteria.